RNAcentral lists this unclassified non-coding RNA (303 nucleotides) under Melitaea cinxia (Glanville fritillary). RNAcentral describes it as "misc RNA ENSMCXG00005019932.1". The record is from RNAcentral. Lineage: Eukaryota; Metazoa; Arthropoda; Insecta; Lepidoptera; Nymphalidae.
CAAGCAGAAUACAAUAUACUAUAAAAAAUUGAAAUCCAAGAUGGCGGCCGCUACAAAAUGGCGGAUAACAUAGGUUUUAUCAAUCCCAUCAAUAUGGGUAUCAAAUGAAAGGGCUCAACAAGCAGAAUACAAUAUACUAUAAAAAAUUGAAAUCCAAGAUGGCGGCCGCUACAAAAUGGCGGAUAACGUAGGUUUUAUCGAUCUCAUCAAUAUGGGUAUCAAAUGAAAGUGCUCAACCAGUAUAAUCAAUGUACUAUAUAAAAUUAAAAUCCAAGAUGGCGGCCUCUACAAAAUGGCGGAUAA